Molecule: ribosomal RNA, 464 nt
Filed under: uncultured bacterium
Lineage: Bacteria
Description: bacterial SSU rRNA
Rfam family: Bacterial small subunit ribosomal RNA
Source: RNAcentral
CCUACGGGACGCAGCAGUGGGGAAUAUUGCACAAUGGGCGCAAGCCUGAUGCAGCCAUGCCGCGUGUAUGAAGAAGGCCUUCGGGUUGUAAAGUACUUUCAGCGGGGAGGAAGGUGUUGUGGUUAAUAACCGCAGCAAUUGACGUUACCCGCAGAAGAAGCACCGGCUAACUCCGUGCAGCAGCCGCGGUAAUACGGAGGGUGCAAGCGUUAAUCGGAAUUACUGGGCGUAAAGCGCACGCAGGCGGUCUGUUAAGUCAGAUGUGAAAUCCCCGGGCUCAACCUGGGAACUGCAUUUGAAACUGGCAGGCUUGAGUCUUGUAGAGGGGGGUAGAAUUCCAGGUGUAGCGGUGAAAUGCGUAGAGAUCUGGAGGAAUACCGGUGGCGAAGGCGGCCCCCUGGACAAAGACUGACGCUCAGGUGCGAAAGCGUGGGGAGCAAACAGGAUUAGAUACCCCCGUAGUC